Ictidomys tridecemlineatus (thirteen-lined ground squirrel) is the source of this 2290-nucleotide non-coding RNA. Lineage: Eukaryota; Metazoa; Chordata; Mammalia; Rodentia; Sciuridae. The record is from RefSeq and is a predicted model, not a curated record.
CAUCCCAGGGUCAGGGUUCUGGGGUUUUGGCCUCUGGUCACUUGAGGGUCUCUGGCAAUCCUGCUCCCCCUCUUUCACUCUGGGGCCUCCGUUUCCCCACCUGGGCUUCAGCACGCAGCAUCCUCCAAGCCCUCGCCUCCACUGCUGGGCCCAGGACUCAGGGUCUCUCCUCUCGCCUGGAGUGCAGACCCCGGAGGCUGGGGCCCAGGCGCGCACCUGCAUGUCUGCCGGCCAGAAGGGCUCAGGGUUCGGACUUCCCUCCGCUCAUGCACGGCGCGGUAGGGUAGGGCAGGUGGGAGCGCAACUAUCCCGGAGGAGUGCAGACUCACUCCUUGAGGCCGCCCCAGUUGUAGCACAGAGGUGACCUGGGGACCAUGCGGCUGCUCCUGCUGACGGUGGGGCUGAGCCUGCUCUCAGUGGCGCGAGCCCAGAAGUUUCUGCUGACUCCUGCUAGCUCACAGGAGCUCCUGGGAGACUGGCACAUCGUGCGCUGGGCAGGAGACUUGACUAUUCCCGAGGAGAGGAAGACCCACCCGCUGCCUCCCUUCAAGUUCGUCAGAAACAAGCUCAACAAGCUGGAGUUCAGGAUGAACCUCAUGAAACCCAUAGGAUGCAUUCAGUUCCAAAUGAUCCUGGAUGUAGCCUCCCGGGGCACCUUUCAAACCGGUUGGAGGCACACCAUCUCUGUCCACUUCUUGCCAGGGAAGGAUCACGCCAUUGCCUACUUCAAGGGCAAGAUACAGCAAACCUACCAGAUGACGAUGCUCAUGGGUGUGCUCCAGCCUCUGGACCGUGUGGAGUUGGGUGUGAACCUCCAGGGUGCCGGCAGACAGGGUGCAGUGCCUUCCAGUCCAGCUAUCUGCAGUUCCCACCCAGGCAGCCAUUUCUGGGACUCCUGGACUCUCGGUGGGAGAGGACCCCUCCCUAGAGGUCAGCUGUGCCCAGGUGGAGACCCUGUCCCUGGCCACUAACCCUUGGAGCCAUCUCCACCCUGAGACUCACAGCUCUCUGCAGCCUUUCUAGUCUCCGCCAGAGUUCUCCAGAGCUUGGCCCCCAGUAUCCUCCUGACAGAACCGCAGUGGGCCCUUCCUGCUCUUGCCCAUCAGCCCCUGCCUAUCCUGCCUGUCCUGUGUGUGCUGCACCCACUGUCUGGUCUUCUCUGCCCACAGCCCCCUGGGAGGCUCUGGACCCAUAAGGCCCCUGUGAUGGCUAUGUGGGAGCUCUGGCAGCAGCAGGGAGACAUGGACAGGGAGGCCUGCCCACUGGCCCCACUCUCUGAUCAUAAGCAUGGACCUCAAAGGCCCUUGGUGUGACCCUGAUGAUGGCUGAGGCCCUUGGUGCUGCCCAGACCCUCCAGGUGCCCCCAGAUCAUUUAUAGAUUGAAUUUCACAUGUCCCCCCAUCUCCUGGUCCAGUGCAGGACAUACCUCCACACCAAACAGGGUGCAUGUGGAGUGUGGUCUUGGGCAGGACCUGAGCUGAGAACUGGAGAGGCUAAGAGCUCACAAAUCACUCUCUGCUGAGAGUCCCAGAGUCCUAGGAAUGGCUUCCUGGGGUGGAAGCUGGGGGGAGAUGGGCAGGAAGGCAGUGUGCCCUGUCUGUGCCCAGUGCCCCUGUGUGAGCAGGGUGCCUCGACAGAACUUGCGGUGAUGUGCACAUUGCUGGAGGGGCCCAGGGUGCAGCCUCUGAGACCAGGUCUGCAAGGAGAGGUUGGGGCCAGGGAGACUGGGCAGUGGGGGUGAUGGGGGUCUGGAGGAGCUGAGGGCACACGGCGACAAUCCUCAAGGAUGGGCAUUUCUGUGGGGCAGGGGUCUGAUUCAUGGAGACGGGACAUUGACAGGUAGGCCCCACCCCUUCCCUCCUUCUGCUCCCCCUGUGGUCAUACUCAGGGCUGUUUCUCCUGGAGUGAUUGGGGUUUGGAGGGACGGUGUCCCUGAGCCUAGGAUGUGCCCAUGCAGGGAAUGUUCAUUGGUCCUCUGCUUGCCAGGGUUGGGGAGUGGCACCUCUUUCCUGUGGAAAUCUCAGAGACAGGAAGCCCCUGGGGCCCCUGAGCUUUGCCAGGAGCUCAGAGGCAUAAGUGUCUAGUCCCAAAGAAGACGCAGAAGUGGUUGUUGCCUGGAGACGCCCCCUGGCUGGCUCUUUCCCGAGAGGCCGCACCCUGGAGGAAGACCCAGAGGCUCUGAGCAUCUUUGAGAAGUUUGUGAAAGACAAAGGGCUGAACAAGAUCACUGCCCCUCCCCACCUUGAAGCCUGCAAGUUGCCCAGAGAGUCCUAGAGCAGGAGGGGGCUGC